This 1472-nucleotide ribosomal RNA is filed under the name uncultured bacterium. RNAcentral's name for it is "bacterial SSU rRNA". It matches the Rfam family "Bacterial small subunit ribosomal RNA". The record is from RNAcentral.
AUUAGAGUUUGAUCCUGGCUCAGAAUCAACGCUGGCGGCGCGCUUAACACAUGCAAGUCGCACGAGAAAGAGGCGCAAGCCUUGAGUACAGUGGCGCACGGGUGAGUAACACGUGGAUGAUCCACCUUGUUGUGGGGAAUAACCUGGGGAAACCCGGGCUAAUACCGCAUACGCUCUUCACAGAGGAAAGCCGCAAGGCGCAGCAAGAGGAGUCCGCGGCCGAUUAGCUGGUUGGCGGGGUAACGGCCCACCAAGGCAACGAUCGGUAGCCGGCCUGAGAGGGCACACGGCCACACUGGCACUGCAACGCGGGCCAGACUCCUACGGGAGGCAGCAGUGGGGAAUCUUGCACAAUGGGCGCAAGCCUGAUGCAGCGACGCCGCGUGCGCGAUGACGCCCUUCGGGGUGUAAAGCGCUUUCGGUCCAGACGAUGAUGACGGUAUGGGCAGAAGAAGCUGCGGCUAACUACGUGCCAGCAGCCGCGGUAAUACGUAGGCAGCGAGCGUUGUUCGGAGUUACUGGGCGUAAAGAGUGCGUAGGCGGCAUGGCAAGUCUGGUGUGAAAUCUCCCGGCUCAACCGGGAGGGUGCGCCGGAGACUGCCAAGCUCGGAGUACGGGAGAGGCACGUGGAAUUCCUGGUGUAGCGGUGAAAUGCGUAGAGAUCAGGAGGAACACCGGUGGUGUAGACGGCGUGCUGGACCGUGACUGACGCUGAGGCACGAAAGCGUGGGUAGCAAACAGGAUUAGAUACCCUGGUAGUCCACGCCCUAAACGAUGCAGACUUGGUGUGCGCCAUUCAGUUGGUGUGUGCCGGAGCUAACGCGGUAAGUCUGCCGCCUGGGGAGUACGGUCGCAAGGCUGAAACUCAAAGGAAUUGACGGGGGCCCGCACAAGCGGUGGAGCAUGUGGUUUAAUUCGACGCAACGCGAAGAACCUUACCUGGGCUCGAACGGCGCCGGACCGAGAGGGAAACCUCUUUUCCCCGCAAGGGGCCGGCGUCGAGGUGCUGCAUGGCUGUCGUCAGCUCGUGUCGUGAGAUGUUGGGUUAAGUCCCGCAACGAGCGCAACCCUUGUCCUGUGUUGCCACCCCCGCAAGGGGAGCACUCUCAGGAGACCGCCAGCGACAAGUUGGAGGAAGGUGGGGACGACGUCAAGUCAUCAUGGCCUUUAUGUCCAGGGCUACACACGUGCUACAAUGGGCGGUACAGAGCGCAGCGCACCCGCGAGGGGGAGCCAAUCGCCAAAAGCCGUCCUCAGUUCGGAUUGCAGGCUGCAACUCGCCUGCAUGAAGCUGGAAUCGCUAGUAAUGGCAUAUCAGAACGAUGCCGUGAAUACGUUCCCGGGCCUUGUACACACCGCCCGUCACAUCACGAAAGUGGAUGGUACUAGAAGUCUGCGGGCUGACCCGUAAGGGAGGCAGCGGCCCAAGGUAUGAUCCAUGAUUGGGGUGAAGUCGUAACAAGGUAACCAAU